CACCUCAGUAGUGCAUCAUAAGGUACUUGGACAAGGCGCAACAGAGCCAGGCGUGCACCUCCAGGUGCGCCUCGCUCGCUUGUCCCACUCUCCAUUUUGCUGGGGACCAAGAAACUCUUGAUGCAAAAACAAGUUACAGUCACUUAUCAGUGGAUACAGUAUGUUGCAACAAUGUUGAACAGAUAGAGGCCUAGUAGGGUUUUGUUUUGCUUCCAUGUUAGCCAAAACUCGUCGCAGCGUGUUGUCAGUAACACAACAGACGAUACCUUUAGAGAUAGAAAAACGCGCUGCACUAUACGGCGGUCACCGUGCAGGCCGUCAUACCCAUCCAGCGAUGUGGUUGGCGUGUGGUUGGCGUGCGACGGGGCGCAGCCGCAAUGGGGCGCAGCCCUGCACCGCCUGGACCUGCCGUGGCAGGCCGGGACUCUGCCGCCCAGUGGCCGCCCCCAGAGCCCCCUGGUGUAUGCUGUUCAAAUAGUGCUUUGUGCGCAGACACCAGAUGUAGGUUGUUACGCCAUAUGGUGAGUCUGUCUCUUGGCUUGCUUGCUUGUCGUGACCUGGCGUGUGACCGUGCAUAUCGUGUGACUGAGUGAUUUGGGUGUGGUUUUGGCGUGUGGGAACAGGGGAACGUGCCCGAGGUUGGUUGGCCCGACACGGUGUAUUGCAUGGGAGGUCGGAGUACGGGUGAUCCGAGAGAGGAUAUAGGUCGCGUCUGAGAGCGGCUAGAGCCGUCUCUCAUUCCGAUCCUAGGCGAGAUAGUCUUUGACCGUUCUAUAUGAGGGACCCGUCCUAGUGGACGUUAAACUCUUUGGCAACAUGUAAGCCGGAACGUG
RNAcentral lists this long non-coding RNA (833 nucleotides) under Chlamydomonas reinhardtii. Its description in RNAcentral is "long non-coding RNA (CREI_LNC000055)". The record is from RNAcentral. Lineage: Eukaryota; Viridiplantae; Chlorophyta; Chlorophyceae; Chlamydomonadales; Chlamydomonadaceae.